This is a long non-coding RNA of Siniperca chuatsi (mandarin fish), 743 nucleotides long. RefSeq lists it as uncharacterized. NCBI's taxonomy places the organism in Eukaryota, Metazoa, Chordata, Actinopteri, Centrarchiformes, Sinipercidae. The transcript has 2 exons. The record is from RefSeq and is a predicted model, not a curated record.
GCACAGGGACAGGUGGAGAUCCUUCAUCUUUGUCAUACCAGGUAGGUGGAUGAAACUCAAGCCAUUCUGAAUCACAGGGAUGGUAGUGAACACAUUAACACUUGAGCACAGCACAGCAAAUUAUUUUGGUGUAUGUGGAUGAUUAUUAUGAUUAGGGCUGGGUGAUAUAAACUAUAUAAACACUGAUGGAAAAUGAUUGAUUGAUGAUGAAGAUAUUUCUCACCAAUUAUAUGGCAGUGUCAUAGUUAGCCACAUCUCUCCUCCUAUCCUUGUGUACUCUAGUGUUGUUCUCCCCUCCCUGUGUUCCUUGUCAGUCCUCUGUCCGUCUCUUGGUGUGCAUGUGUGUGUGUAUAUGUGUGUGUGUACGUGCCUGGGCGGGGCGCUCUGGUUUCCCCUCCUGCUGAGGAUCACCCAAUGAACUCCCAAAGUAUAUCUACCUGGCUCUACCAUGUAACCGGCACCAGAUCGUCUCAGAACACCAUUACUACCUGCCGGUGAUCGCAGCCACCUUGUCCUCUCCGAUCUCUGCAAACUGCCUUUCCUGUUCUGCCUGCCAUGCUGCACCAGCCAUCUCCAGAACCCACUCUCACCAUCUCCGCCCCUGAGCCCAGAUGGUUCUCCACGGACCGUGUAGGCAAACCUCACUACCGGCUCCAGCAAACUACGCCUGACUCGUCCGCUCUGGAAGAGCGUUCAUCGACCAGUGAUUGUUUACUGUGUUACAAUAAAGACUGUUAAAACCA